AUGUUGAAACACUAGUUCUCAUAUGAUCAGCAAAGUUAAGCAACUUUGAGCCUGGUCAGUACCUAGAUGGGUGACCACUUGGGAAUACCAGAUACUGU
This is a non-coding RNA of Acanthosepion pharaonis, 98 nucleotides long. The record is from the annotation of a GenBank genome assembly. NCBI's taxonomy places the organism in Eukaryota, Metazoa, Mollusca, Cephalopoda, Sepiida, Sepiidae.